This 114-nucleotide ribosomal RNA is filed under the name Rickettsiaceae bacterium. Lineage: Bacteria; Pseudomonadati; Pseudomonadota; Alphaproteobacteria; Rickettsiales; Rickettsiaceae. The record is from RNAcentral.
CUUGGUGGUUUAGCGUGAGUGAAACACUCGAUUCCAUUCCGAACUCGGAAGUGAAACCUCAUAGCGCCGAUGGUACUUUGUCUUAAGGCACGGGAGAGUAGGUCGCUGCCAAGC